Long non-coding RNA from Coregonus clupeaformis (lake whitefish), 583 nucleotides. RefSeq lists it as uncharacterized. The record is from RefSeq and is a predicted model, not a curated record. The transcript is spliced from 2 exons. NCBI's taxonomy places the organism in Eukaryota, Metazoa, Chordata, Actinopteri, Salmoniformes, Salmonidae.
GAGUUAUACUCCAGUCUAGUAGGUGGCGUUAAUGCAACAUUUAUUGGAUGCCAACCGCCGUUAAACCUAAUCGAAGAAGAAGUAGUGAUCGGGGCUUGGAGAUGAGCGGAGAAUGUCUCGCCAUGGGGAUUGGUCCCCUAUGCAAGUGUCCAUGUCGUGUGUGUUUUCUGUGAUUGCAGUGUCUGUGGGACGAGAAAUCUUACUGGCGAAUUCGAGUGAGGAAGUGGGCGGCUGCGCUGACAACAAACUGGGGCUGUGGAGCUGAGUGGUUAUCCGAGAGCAGAGGACCGAGACAGGCAUUGCACCGGAAGCGGGGUCAUCGGUGACGUCGCCAAGCAGAGUCUCAGACCGGGUGCGUUCCAGGACAGGGAGCUAUGCGGAUCUGGAUAUCGCCAUACAAAGACGUUAAUUUUAUUUUGUGGGGAUAUGGUUGUCGUCGUGCCCUAGACAUCCUAACCUACCUGAGCGGAGGCUCUUAUGUUGAUACAGUCCGGGAAAUCAUGUAGUCUGCUGUGGGAGGUUGGGAAACUGGGUCAGAUCCAUGUUAACCCAUGAAUUUGAAAUAAAACUUACCUUGAGCAUA